This 253-nucleotide ribosomal RNA is filed under the name uncultured bacterium. RNAcentral's name for it is "partial 16S ribosomal RNA". It matches the Rfam family "Bacterial small subunit ribosomal RNA", at positions 524 to 776 of the family's 1533-position model. The record is from RNAcentral.
UACGGAGGGAGCUAGCGUUGUUCGGAAUUACUGGGCGUAAAGAGUACGUAGGCGGUUAUUCAAGUCAGAGGUGAAAGCCCGGGGCUCAACCCCGGAACUGCCUUUGAAACUAGAUAGCUAGAGUCUUGGAGAGGUUAGUGGAAUUCCGAGUGUAGAGGUGAAAUUCGUAGAUAUUCGGAAGAACACCAGUGGCGAAGGCGACUAACUGGACAAGUACUGACGCUGAGGUACGAAAGCGUGGGGAGCAAACAGG